CGGGACGGGUGAGUAAUGUCUGGGAAACUGCCUGAUGGAGGGGGGUAACUACUGGAAACGGGAGCUAAUACCGCAUAACGUCGCAAGACCAAAGAGGGGGACCUUCGGGCCUCUUGCCAUCGGAUGUGCCCAGAUGGGAUUAGCUAGUAGGUGGGGUAACGGCUCACCUAGGCGACGAUCCCUAGCUGGUCUGAGAGGAUGACCAGCCACACUGGAACUGAGACACGGUCCAG
This 233-nucleotide ribosomal RNA is filed under the name uncultured bacterium. RNAcentral's name for it is "partial 16S ribosomal RNA". It matches the Rfam family "Bacterial small subunit ribosomal RNA", at positions 100 to 334 of the family's 1533-position model. The record is from RNAcentral.